RNAcentral lists this long non-coding RNA (1004 nucleotides) under Homo sapiens (human). RNAcentral's name for it is "non-protein coding lnc-MITF-11:1". The record is from RNAcentral. Lineage: Eukaryota; Metazoa; Chordata; Mammalia; Primates; Hominidae.
AAAAUAGGCAAGUUUCCUUCUCUUGUUAACAAUCUAGUAUAGAGAAAUAGACAAUAAGUAAUUAAACUAUUCAUAGUAGUCACAGUAGCGACAGGGAGAUCAAUCCCAAGUGAAGUGUAAGCCAUCGGGGUAUCUUAUGGCAUCCAGUUCAAUCACAAUAUUCCCUUUUUCAUUUUCAGAGCACAGAUUUUAUGCUCCUGGGACGGAGCCAAGGAAAGUGCUGGUUCAGCACACUCAAUUCCAAAGGAGCAUCUCAUUUUAUUGUCUCUCCCUCUAAUUUCAGAGAACAAUGGGGUUAGCCACGAGUCUAUAGUGUGACUCAGAUUGUUCAGUUAUUUUCAAAUCAACAACACCCUUGAAUUAGUUUCCCUUUCCACUUUCCUGGUAACAUGCCAUCCCACUUCUCUCUGAUGCACUCAAAAACAUCUUAAUAGCUCCAUGUGACCACCUGAACCAACAGAUAUCCCUUCAAAUUGAGCAGUCCUGGGAGACAUUGAUCAUUGUUGGCUGUGGCAUGUAGUUUUAGGGCAAAAGCUUAUGUGACACAAACUCAUUGUUGGGCUUUGCUGGAGAGAGAGAGAUGUUCUUCCUUUGUAGUCUGAGCAAUAGCCUCAAAUGGGACCAUUUCAAAUACACUACACGUGCAUUUGAAUGAAAGCAUUGAAAUGUCGUUAUCUAAAAAUCUAACGAAACAUUUGGCUCUAUCUGAAAGAAGCACAAGUUAAUUGCUUAUCAAACUAUCAACUUUUAUUUCACAAAAUGACUGAUAUCUCUGUGAGUCUGUGAGGAGAAAGCACUACACUUUAUUUCAAGGGCAAGAGUGAGCAUGGAUAUAGACAGAAUCCACUCUAUCAAUAAUCCAUCACUAAUUUUCUCAGGUAAAGCAGUCAUAUUGUUUACAUGCAAAAUACUUUCAUUGUGGGGGUAAAUGACCUCCUUCGCUUGCAAAAUCUGCUCUUUGUUUCCACAAAAAACACAGACUUAUUCAUGGUUUUAAAAAAAAU